The sequence is a ribosomal RNA, 441 nucleotides long. It matches the Rfam family "Bacterial small subunit ribosomal RNA", at positions 40 to 469 of the family's 1533-position model.
CGGCGUGCCUAAUACAUGCAAGUCGAGCGAACAGAAAAGGAGCUUGCUCCUUUGACGUUAGCGGCGGACGGGUGAGUAACACGUGGGCAACCUACCCUAUAGUUUGGGAUAACUCCGGGAAACCGGGGCUAAUACCGAAUAAUCUUUUUUGCUUCAUGGCAAGAGACUGAAAGACGGCAUCUCGCUGUCGCUAUAGGAUGGGCCCGCGGCGCAUUAGCUAGUUGGUGAGGUAACGGCUCACCAAGGCGACGAUGCGUAGCCGACCUGAGAGGGUGAUCGGCCACACUGGGACUGAGACACGGCCCAGACUCCUACGGGAGGCAGCAGUAGGGAAUCUUCCACAAUGGGCGAAAGCCUGAUGGAGCAACGCCGCGUGAGUGAAGAAGGUUUUCGGAUCGUAAAACUCUGUUGUAAGGGAAGAACAAGUACAGUAGUAACUGG